GUUCAAGCCUUGAAAUUAGUAUGUGAUGAAUUUGAUGAUACACGAGGGCCUAUGUCACGAAGUUGCAGCCAGGAGGACCUUUCUAUGACAGAUACUUCACUAGUCCAUAAAUCAAUUCCAGGUUUUGAUUCUCCUUUAAAUGUCCAAAUGGAAUUAUCAGCUUCAGAGUUAAAGAGUGCAUCAGCUAGAUAUGGAACAGUGGAAUCCGAGUCUUUUAGAAGACAAUUCAAUUCUGCUCCUUUGAAAAUGGGAAGAAAAAGGAAUUUCUGGCAAAGGUUGAGAGUUCUUUCAAGUGGCAGCAUGAGUGAACAUAGUUUUUCAUCAAAAACAUGAUGAGAACUUUUAGCCACAAACAUUAAGUCCUACAUUAUAUUAGAACAUAUAAUUGUUGUUCAGUGUUCUUGUUCAUGGAGUUAUCUUAUUUUGUCUGUAGAUAUUACCGUAAGAAGAUUUGAAC
RNAcentral lists this unclassified non-coding RNA (457 nucleotides) under Hevea brasiliensis (rubber tree). The record is from RNAcentral. Lineage: Eukaryota; Viridiplantae; Streptophyta; Magnoliopsida; Malpighiales; Euphorbiaceae.